AAUUUUUCACAAUGGGCGAAAGCCUGAUGGAGCGACGCCGCGUGGGGGAUGAAUGGCUUCGGCCCGUAAACCCCUGUCAUUUGCGAACAAACCACUUUAUUUAAAAGAUGAAGUGCUGAUUGUAGCGAAAGAGGAAGGGACGGCUAACUCUGUGCCAGCAGCCGCGGUAAUACAGAGGUCCCAAGCGUUGUUCGGAUUCACUGGGCGUAAAGGGUGCGUAGGUGGUCGGGUAAGUCUGAGGUGAAAUCUCCGAGCUUAACUCGGAAACUGCCUUGGAUACUAUUCGGCUUGAGGGUUGGAGGGGGGACUGGAAUUCUCGGUGUAGCAGUGAAAUGCGUAGAUAUCGAGAGGAACACCAGUGGCGAAGGCGAGUCCCUGGACAACUCCUGACGCUGAGGCACGAAAGCUAGGGGAGCAAAC
RNAcentral lists this ribosomal RNA (420 nucleotides) under uncultured bacterium. Its description in RNAcentral is "bacterial SSU rRNA". It matches the Rfam family "Bacterial small subunit ribosomal RNA", at positions 360 to 773 of the family's 1533-position model. The record is from RNAcentral.